GACGAACGCUGGCGGCGUGCUUAACACAUGCAAGUCGAACGGAAAGGCCCUGCUUUUGUGGGGUGCUCGAGUGGCGAACGGGUGAGUAACAAGUGAGUAACCUGCCCUUGACUUUGGGAUAACUUCAGGAAACUGGGGCUAAUACCGGAUAGGAGCUCCUGCUGCAUGGUGGGGGUUGGAAAGUUUCGGCGGUUGGGGAUGGACUCGCGGCUUAUCAGCUUGUUGGUGGGGUAGUGGCUUACCAAGGCUUUGACGGGUAGCCGGCCUGAGAGGGUGACCGGCCACAUUGGGACUGAGAUACGGCCCAGACUCCUACGGGAGGCAGCAGUGGGGAAUAUUGCACAAUGGGCGGAAGCCUGAUGCAGCAACGCCGCGUGCGGGAUGAAGGCCUUCGGGUUGUAAACCGCUUUCGCCUGUGACGAAGCGUGAGUGACGGUAAUGGGUAAAGAAGCACCGGCUAACUACGUG
This 468-nucleotide ribosomal RNA is filed under the name uncultured bacterium. RNAcentral describes it as "partial 16S ribosomal RNA". It matches the Rfam family "Bacterial small subunit ribosomal RNA", at positions 28 to 507 of the family's 1533-position model. The record is from RNAcentral.